This 218-nucleotide long non-coding RNA is filed under the name Elaeis guineensis (African oil palm). RNAcentral's name for it is "long non-coding RNA (EGUI_LNC039817)". Lineage: Eukaryota; Viridiplantae; Streptophyta; Magnoliopsida; Arecales; Arecaceae. The record is from RNAcentral.
AUCAAUAUCUAUAUCUAUAUUCAUCUCAUAAUUAAUUAAAAAUUUCAUAUGCAUAUCCAUCCCGUAUCUGCCUUAGAUCAGAUUAGAUUAGAUAAAGAAUUCAUCUUCAAAUAUUAUAAAAUAAUUAUAAAAAAAUGAUUUAAGUUAAAAUUAUAUCAGAUGGGGUUCGGAAUAGAUCAGAUAUUUUUUUUAGAACCCAUACUUAUUCUGACUUUUAC